CUUGCACUGGUGUAACUCAAUAUCACAAAGUGCAACCUAUUUAUCAGUCUAACUUGCACCAGGUGCAGGUCAAUUUUUGAGAAAUAUAUCAACA
Long non-coding RNA from Haliotis rubra (blacklip abalone), 94 nucleotides. RefSeq lists it as uncharacterized. The transcript has 3 exons. The record is from RefSeq and is a predicted model, not a curated record. Lineage: Eukaryota; Metazoa; Mollusca; Gastropoda; Lepetellida; Haliotidae.